UGGGGCUAUGUAGAAUAGAUAUUAGUUCAUUUUUGUAAGAUAUUGGUAAAAUAGAUUAAUAGUCCAUAGAAUAAUCAGUUUAGGAGGACGGAUGAUUGAUUCAAUUAUUAAAAGCGAUUAUUAUAGGAUUACGAUUAGAAUCUGGAAAUCAGUAGCAAUUAUAUAGGAGUUGUAGAAGUUUGUUGGAGUGCCAAACUAUGAUAGUCAUGAGCCGGGAUUAAGCUUGGUGCUUCUUCUUUGUUUCUUUUGUUUUCUUUGUUGUUGAAGAAUAAUGGAUAGUUUUUGAAUACUGAGAAGUGAAUUUGUGGAAUAAAUCAAAGAUUGAUUUAUGAGUUAUUGAUUAUGUAAUUGGAGUACUAAGUGAUUGAAUUAUAUGAGAAGUUAUUGGAAGAUUGAUUAUGGAUGGAAGAUUAUGAUUGUUGUUUAUUAAAAGUUGUGUAUGUGUGGUUCAACAGAGGAAGUCUGUGAUUACAGGAAUUCUAUGAAUUUAGAUUGGUUGGAGUGAAGUCUGUUAUUUCUAGUGUUGGAUGGAAUUUAUUGAGUUUUGAGUGGUCUUUUGAGAGUGCAAGGUUACACAUUGUGGUUAUCAGUUGAUGAAGGAGUAUUAUUACUGGGAAGAAGCAUUGUAGUAUUUCUUAGUAUUUUAGUGGUUCGGAAUAUAGUUAAUUGUGUGACUCUAAGAAGUAAAAGUCAUGCGCUUAGUCUUUCCUUGUGUUCGAAUUCCUCUAUACAAGUUUAUUCUAGAAGGAAUUGUAGAAUAAGUAAAACGACAAUCACAACGACAUUGACUUUAUCAAGCAAAAGCCAAAAAUAAUUAGAGUUGUGGUACUUUGACAAUCAAGAGAGGCGGAGAGAAGAUGGUAUUAUAAAUGUACCUAGUAUACUAUCAUGGAGAAUCUCAAAUGUAAGCAUCUGAAUUGACAUCUGAUGAUGAGCUCAGUUUUGAUGAAGACGCCGUUGUAUCAAAAAAGGGAGCAUCUUUCAAGACAACUUAGCACCAUGGGAUAAUGUAUCAAUGUGGAGGAUUGAAAGAAUAUUUGAUAUAUCCACCAAAUAUGGAAAAUUUUGAUCAUGUUAUUACAGAUUGCAUAAAUAAAUAUGAUGUGUAUUGGAUCAGUGAAUUGGAAACAGAUUUGAGUA
Molecule: long non-coding RNA, 1140 nt
Filed under: Physcomitrium patens
Lineage: Eukaryota; Viridiplantae; Streptophyta; Bryopsida; Funariales; Funariaceae
Description: long non-coding RNA (PPAT_LNC008518)
Source: RNAcentral